RNAcentral lists this long non-coding RNA (562 nucleotides) under Coturnix japonica (Japanese quail). RNAcentral describes it as "lncRNA (ENSCJPG00005018345.1)". Lineage: Eukaryota; Metazoa; Chordata; Aves; Galliformes; Phasianidae. The record is from RNAcentral.
AAGCAUUCUGUGGUUAUAUGACAGAUUAUGUGACAUAUUUGUUGCAUUGGUUGGAUUUGAAGGGAUACAUUUAAUUAAUCUGAGUUUCAGAAAUGGCUUUGAACUGAUCAUAAAAACAUUGGAUUCCUCUGAGUUUAGAAACUAAAUGAGGACACCCAAUGCUUUGAAAGGUGUCUUGCUCAUUCCUUCGGGGAAAGUAUCCCAGUUUAAUGUAGUCAGUGAUUAUUUUGGCUUCCAUGUCUUUUCCAGUGCCUGCUCAUGAAGGAUGUGUGACAUAGAUGACCUCAGAUAUUUGCAGUCAUCCAGUCUGGAGAGGAACAAGAAUUCUGCACACAGUGUGGCAGAAAGCCUUUGUCCUUACUGCCCCGAGGAGGAACAAGUGUGAAAUGGGAGCAGUAAUUACUUCCUGUGCUGUAAAGUCAUUGAGAAGUUUCAAGGCAUGUCGUUCUGGGUGAUGAGAAACAAAACUGAACAAAGUAGAAAUGUGAUCAGAAAAACAAUGAGAGCAGAACUUGAUCUGCUUGCAGGAAAAAGAAAUACAGAUGCAGUAUUUUACAGGUGC